GAUGAACGCUGGCGGCGUGCCUAAUACAUGCAAGUCGAGCGAACAGAUGAGGAGCUUGCUCCUCUGACGUUAGCGGCGGACGGGUGAGUAACGCGUGGAUAACCUACCUAUAAGACUGGGAUAACUUCGGGAAACCGGAGCUAAUACCGGAUAAUAUAUUGAACCGCAUGGUUCAAUAGUGAAAGACGGUUUUGCUGUCACUUAUAGAUGGAUCCGCGCCGCAUUAGCUAGUUGGUAAGGUAACGGCUUACCAAGGCGACGAUGCGUAGCCGACCUGAGAGUGUGAUCGGCCCCACUGGAACUGAGACACGGUCCAGACUCCUACGGGAGGCAGCAGUAGGGAAUCUUCCGCAAUGGGCGAAAGCCUGACGGAGCAACGCCGCGUGAGUGAUGAAGGUCUUCGGAUCGUAAAACUCUGUUAUUAGGGAAGAACAAAUGUGUAAGUAACUAUGCACGUCUUGACGGUACCUAAUCAGAAAGCCACGGCUAACUACGUG
Molecule: ribosomal RNA, 497 nt
Filed under: uncultured bacterium
Lineage: Bacteria
Description: partial 16S ribosomal RNA
Rfam family: Bacterial small subunit ribosomal RNA
Source: RNAcentral